CUUGAAUAGAUAUAGCUUUUUCUAAUAUAUAAUAUUGGUCCUUUCAGAGCAAAAUGUUUAAAGGACCACUAUAGUGCCAGGAAAACAUACUCGUUUUCCUGGCACUAUAGUGCCCUGAGGGUGCCACCACCCUCAGGGUCCCCCUCCCGCCCGACUCUGGAAGGGGGAAAGGGGUAAAAACUUUCCUUUUUCCAGCGCUGGGCGGGAGCUCUCCUCCUCCGAUCCUCUUUCUCUCCGCCCAUUGGCUGAAUGCGCACGCGCGGCAAGAGCUGGGCGCACAUUCAGCCGGUCGCAUAGAAAAGCAUUCACAAUGCUUUCCUAUGGACGCUGGCGUGCUCUCACUGUGAAAAUCACAGUGAGAAGCACACAAGCGCCUCUAGCGGCUGUCAAUUAGACAGCCGCUAGAGGCUUUGGGGGAAG
RNAcentral lists this long non-coding RNA (420 nucleotides) under Pelobates cultripes (western spadefoot toad). Lineage: Eukaryota; Metazoa; Chordata; Amphibia; Anura; Pelobatidae. The record is from RNAcentral.